GGUUGAGCGGAGUGGAGGAUGCGUGAGAGGCGAGGCGUGCUCACACGCCCUUCUCGGCCGCGGGGUGAGACCAUGCGUCAAGAUGGUUCGAGCCUCCCGGACCGGACGCCGAUGCAGAUGGAGGCGAAGCAUCAGCGGACUCUUCGGCGACGAAGGCGAGUAAAACUGAUCCCCAUGAUUCAAGAAGGUAAUCAAUCGUCAGUUGCAGGGGCAUUCAUCAUCGAUGACGAUGUGCGCCACUCACGGGCCACGGCGGCUACUAAGUGGAGGUGCUACUCAUCUUCUUUGUGGUCGAUCCAUUCAGGCUCUUGGGUGUAUAGAAAAUGCAACCGAAUUCAUUACGUGUGCCUGCAGAUGGUGUUCAUUCUUGAAAAUUGGUUUAUUCUGAUUUGGUCAUUUUAUUUAAUUGACAAUCUGAUGGCUCCGGGAAAGGUGAUAAUUUCGCUUUGACUACCAUACUUCAUGUUUCCAUGUUUUAGCAUUUAUCUGUUGCUUAGAUAUAUUAUAUGUCUUCAUACCAUGGAACUGUUUAUUGCGCCACAAUUAUUUACAAAAGAACAGGAAAAUGUGCAACAGAAAAAUGUAGCCACCCAUCGAGUGUUAGUGUUGUCAAAAGGUACCAUUCUCCUUUUAUCCCGGUGCGCCUUUUUGCCAUUGCUUUGUUCCCCGCAUUCCCCAUUUUAUGUAAAUUGCAACACGGAUUGACAAUAAUGCUCCUUUCAAGCAUGGUUAUUCCAGCAGCGAGUUUUUUUUUUGCGAUUAUUCUAGCAGCAAGCUUGGAUGGUGUUUAAACUUAGGAGCCUUAUAAAUGUAACAUCUGAACCUCUUCUUAAUCAAACCAUGCCCUUCUCAUAUUUAAAAACUUUUAUUAUGAGCUAAAUAAUGUAACAUGGCUUCUACAUGAAUUUUCGUGAUGGAGCGAUCUCAGGAAGAAUACGAGAUUGGUAAUUCUCACUUCUGACAGGGAAUAUAAACCUCAGUUCUUACCUUGCUGUGAAACUGAGAUACUUAGUUAAGAAUUACUGGUGACCUUCGGAUGGGAGACGAGUUUUUGUGCUUGUCACUGUUCAAUUUAAUUUCUAAUUAAAAUGUACCUGUGACGGAUUUGUCGAAGCAGGUUUCUUGGACGUCUACAUUAGAAAGUACACAAUGAGAAUUUUUCAAGUCUUGGAUUCAGUCAUUUCUAAGUUUGUUUUGGCCAACUUGAAUGUUUCUUGGCAUAGAUAUGCUUAUAUAUUAGAACAUGCUAACGGGGGGUGUUUACUGUUUACUUUAUACAUUUUACUUUUACUUUACUAAAUGGCCUUACGAAAUUCCCCCAGAAAUUUUAUUGAUGCGAACACCUAUUUUUCUACGGCAGCAACCAAACAUAUUAGUCAAUUAUGAAAAUAAGAAACAUUGUGUUGUUUUGAGAAGGAAUCUUUUAUCUUCCUAAUCAAUUUUUGGUGUUCCCCAUUUUGCUACAGAUUUGUUUCAAGUCACUAUUGCAGAAUAAUGGAGAGGGAGUAGGCUUUGGAAGCUCAUGUAUUUGGUUUGGCUUAAAAAAUUUGGCGUCUGAGAAGUUUAGAAGCUGCUAGGUUAUAUCCAACACAAGAUUUGACUCUCCUGUGGAUGGCAGCAAUGCAACCCACUCUAUAUCGAG
This is a long non-coding RNA of Triticum dicoccoides, 1642 nucleotides long. RefSeq lists it as uncharacterized. The transcript is spliced from 3 exons. The record is from RefSeq and is a predicted model, not a curated record. NCBI's taxonomy places the organism in Eukaryota, Viridiplantae, Streptophyta, Magnoliopsida, Poales, Poaceae.